GGGCAAAUCCAAAAAGGCCAACAGUAGUUUUAAUAUUCAAAAUUUUUCAUUCCAAAUUAUGAAAAAUAUUUGAAUUCUAAAUUCUUAAAAUUUUAAUCUAUUUAUCUGUGUUAUUGGUGAUUCAAUUUUUAAGUAAUUUUCAUUUUCAUCAUAAAAAAUACUUAUAAUUUCAUGACUUAAUUUUAAAAUGUUUGUCACUUAAGCAUUAAAUUAUUAACGUUAUCUGAUUGUCACCAAAUCAUGUUCACAUCAUGUUUUCACUUUUAUUUUGGCCACCUAUUUUUUAAGUGACUUUAAUUUUGGUCACCAAAAAUAAUUGUUAUAGCCCAAAAUUGCCUGGCCCAAGACCCACAAGCAGAUAAACUAAAAAAUAAAGUCCAUUUACAAACCUAUACAACUACCCAAUACCCAAACAAGCCCAAAAUAAAAAAACAACCCAAGGGCCAACAAAACUAAGGAAAAACAAAAGCCCUAGCAGCCAACCUUCAGCCGCUGCAGCCCAGGGCAGUCUCCAGGCACCGCACGUCGCGCGCCUCCUCCGCGUCGUGCGCUGCUCCACCACGCCACAUCAGCGAUACACUCACGCACGUACCUGCAAACGUGCAAAAAAAAAUAAGUUGUAAAAUCGGCUAUAAAAGCCUUUGAAAAUAUAUUGUAAAGGGGUUUUUUUUUUUACGAAUACGAACACAAGAAAUACACACAAAAGCAGUCAAUAGCAAUAAAUAUCAGAUUUGGCAAUCAAAAGGUUGAUUAUUGCUCUUUCUCUUUUCGGAUUCUUGUUUUUUCCUUUUUUUUUUGUUCUUUUUUACAGAUUGAUUUUAAAUAAAAAACGAAGGAAAAGAGGCUUACCUGGGUUUACCCCGUGGUUCGGCGUCGGAGGCAGAGGCGCAGAAGCGCCGAUGACCCUCGUGCGCGGCCUCCCAAAGCAGGGUCAAAACCCUUGAAGCAAAUGGGGUUUCUUUUUUUAAAAUGGCAGAAUGCCAUUCAAUUGAUUUUCAUUUUGGUUUAAAAUGCCAAACAAAACAGCACCGUUUGGUGCUGGGCCCAUGCAUUUUGGCUCAAAAUGGGGUAUUUUCACAAUCGGUCCUCCCCUUCGUGCUAGUGUUCAAUCGAGCCGUGUUUUUUUAAAAUUAUUUUAAAUUGUCCCUGGAAUUUACGCGCCGUUGCAAAUCAGUCCGCGCUGAAACAUUUCUUUUUGGGAUUUGGUUU
RNAcentral lists this long non-coding RNA (1209 nucleotides) under Gossypium barbadense (sea-island cotton). RNAcentral's name for it is "long non-coding RNA (GBAR_LNC012941)". Lineage: Eukaryota; Viridiplantae; Streptophyta; Magnoliopsida; Malvales; Malvaceae. The record is from RNAcentral.